UCCUAGAAACUAUUUUUCUUCCUGCUCCUCUGACCACUCCUUCUCCGUUUUCUUUGCUGAAUGAUCAUCAGCAUCAUAUUCCCUAAUUGUGGAUCCCUGAGGUCAGGAGAAGCAAAAUAACUUCCUCCAAUCAAACAGCUGGAGAAUGGCAGAGUUGAAACUUGAACCUAAGUUUUCGGAGUCCCAAAUUCCAUGUUUUGCCACUACAGACCACUCUACAUUUUAUAUGGUGAAUGAGUAUCUGAAAACAGGACAGAUCAAAUUAUAACCUUGUGAGUUUCAAAAGACGGGAAGAGCCAUCAGAGGUCCAGCAAAUGGAAUUAUUUGCAGAAACUGCUGAUAACAGCAGCAGCAGCAGCAGCAGCAGAGUUUGGAAAAGAACCAGCUCUGAGAAGUGACUUCUUCCACCCAGCCUAUCAAGGAACUGAACCAUCAGCUCUUCCACAGCCAGAAGUAAAUUCUGUGGGGACUCUGAGAAGAAAGGGAAAAGGGCUUCUAUGGCCAAUCUGCCCCCAGUCCCAGUUGGGAUAGAGAACAUUUUGUAGAAAUCACUUUUGAGUCCACUCUCUCCAGAACUUGGUUAAGGAACUGUGCUGGUGUAUAAAAGAUAGAGUGUAAUCCUUGGUUUGGAGGAUGUUGUGCUUGGUCUUUGUUAUAUCUUCUCACUAAAUAUUCUUUUGUAAUAGUUUUUUGUUUUUGUUUUGUUUUUGCUGAGGCA
Long non-coding RNA from Sarcophilus harrisii (Tasmanian devil), 718 nucleotides. RefSeq lists it as uncharacterized. The transcript is spliced from 3 exons. Lineage: Eukaryota; Metazoa; Chordata; Mammalia; Dasyuromorphia; Dasyuridae. The record is from RefSeq and is a predicted model, not a curated record.